GUGGGGAAUUUUGGACAAUGGGCGCAAGCCUGAUCCAGCAAUGCCGCGUGCAGGAAGAAGGCCUUCGGGUUGUAAACUGCUUUUGUACGGAACGAAACGGUCCGGGUUAAUACCCUGGGCUAAUGACGGUACCGUAAGAAUAAGCACCGGCUAACUACGUGCCAGCAGCCGCGGUAAUACGUAGGGUGCAAGCGUUAAUCGGAAUUACUGGGCGUAAAGCGUGCGCAGGCGGUUUUGUAAGACAGGCGUGAAAUCCCCGGGCUCAACCUGGGAAUUGCGCUUGUGACUGCAAGGCUGGAGUGCGGCAGAGGGGGAUGGAAUUCCGCGUGUAGCAGUGAAAUGCGUAGAUAUGCGGAGGAACACCGAUGGCGAAGGCAGUCCCCUGGGCCUGUACUGACGCUCAUGCACGAAAGCGUGGGGAGCAAACAGGAUUAGAAACCCGGGUAGUCC
This 450-nucleotide ribosomal RNA is filed under the name uncultured bacterium. RNAcentral describes it as "partial 16S ribosomal RNA". It matches the Rfam family "Bacterial small subunit ribosomal RNA", at positions 354 to 796 of the family's 1533-position model. The record is from RNAcentral.